This is a long non-coding RNA of Musa acuminata AAA Group (dessert banana), 1107 nucleotides long. RefSeq lists it as uncharacterized. The transcript is spliced from 2 exons. Lineage: Eukaryota; Viridiplantae; Streptophyta; Magnoliopsida; Zingiberales; Musaceae. The record is from RefSeq and is a predicted model, not a curated record.
UAUCUUAAUUUUUCUUUAGUUUCAGUCUUUGCCUCUUUCACAUAAUUUUACACAAGCUAAGUGCUUUACAUUUGGACAUUGUAAAAGCCUUUCCAUUGAUCAUCCUGGAAUUACAAAUAGGUUGAUGCUUAUUGCCAUAUGUGCUCCAUUGGAGUAUGAUCACAAGAAGGUUUGAACUCGACAUGGAAAUCAUUUUUUUACUAGUUUGGUAUGAAAGUAUUUUCAAGUACAUGGUUUGUUGUAAUUUAGGCACAAUGGAUUUGGUAAUGCCAUUAUGAAUGAAUUUUUUCCAAGUGUGAUUUUUUUUCUUAUUUGAAAAUCAGCUUAUCUACUUUAAUGCAAGGUUUUUAAUUUCCACUGGUUUGGUAUGGUUCAGUGAGUAUUACCUGUCUAAACAGUGACUGAGGCAUGAACCACUUGAAAUCGGGCAGUCUGGUAUGCUUCACUUAAUUUUCUUUUCUUUUAAGAACGUACUACUCAUGAGGAGUUGCACUGUGCUAGGGCUCAUGGAGUCAUGCGAUUCCUCUUCACCAUCACUGCCCAUGCACUGUGGCCUCAGCUGCCCACACGCUGCUCCCUUCACCCAUUCUGAGCUGGUCUGGAAUAUGCGUAUACAGAGCUUCGUUUUUCUUCCUGAAAACCAUGAUAAUAAUAAGACUAAGGUAAUCCAUGUGAUGACUGUCAUCUGGUGUAAGUCAUUGACAUUAAUUGGUUUUCUUGAUCCAUUUAGAUUAACCUUUGCUAACAAGUGUGCAAGACAUCUUGUAUAUCUCUUUUCUUAUGUACAGGCUGUAGGCCUAUCAAGCCCAUCUUUGCCUUAGUUUGAAAGGGUCAAUUGGUCGUAAGUUGCACAGAUGUUGACUCACUCCCACUACAUAGAUGACAAUCUAAACACUGUGCUCAGUUGUUAGGUGCCACCUGCAGAGAUUAGAGUUGCACAAAAAUUGUUUGUAAGAUAAUUUUCAUUAUUUUGAUGAUUCUAAAUUUGGGUCAACUUCUUUUUUUGGGCUUGAUCUUCAAUCCAGCACAUUACUUGUAUUCUUCUUUUGGCUAAUUUUCUUAUCUAUUUUUUCUGAUAGAUCACCUGAGGUAAGUCACAUUCCAAAA